GUAGUUUUACACUGCGCGUUAUCAAAAUCUAUUUUUAGACUGUGGUGCCUGUUAUGUAAGAAUCAUGACAUUCCUGUCUGCUACAGUUAGUCAUUAUUAUUAUUUCCUGGCUUAUAUUAUUAUAGUUUCUUAGUAUUUUGUGUACAUAUAAGAUAUGGUCCGCAAAUAUCUUACUGAGACUGAGUUACAGGAAAUUGUUACUGCUAGCGAUUUUUAUGAUGAUAUAGAACAGGGAUGAAAUAGUAUCAGAAAACGAGGAUGUAUUGUUAGAUGAAGAUUUAAAUGCUGAAAACAUUCA
Long non-coding RNA from Diabrotica virgifera virgifera (western corn rootworm), 298 nucleotides. RefSeq lists it as uncharacterized. The transcript has 2 exons. The record is from RefSeq and is a predicted model, not a curated record. NCBI's taxonomy places the organism in Eukaryota, Metazoa, Arthropoda, Insecta, Coleoptera, Chrysomelidae.